RNAcentral lists this transfer RNA (95 nucleotides) under Glaesserella parasuis. RNAcentral describes it as "tRNA-Sec". It matches the Rfam family "Selenocysteine transfer RNA". Lineage: Bacteria; Pseudomonadati; Pseudomonadota; Gammaproteobacteria; Pasteurellales; Pasteurellaceae. RNAcentral also lists the same sequence under 1 other name. The record is from RNAcentral.
GGAGGUGUGUCAUAUCCGGUGAUGUGGCAGGACUUCAAAUCCUGUUGAGGACGCCAGCGUUCUCGGGUGGGUUCAACUCCCAUAUGCCUCCGCCA